CCAGGAUCAAGGAAAGAUGUAGAACAGGCGUCCUGAAUUCCUUGUUUUGGAGCAUUUUCAAGUGUAAAGAAUCUAGGGAAAUCAGAGUGGAGGUGGAGGACAUGGCACAAGUCCAGCAAGACAGUGGGACCUGGGGACGUUCCUAAAGGUGGU
RNAcentral lists this long non-coding RNA (153 nucleotides) under Cavia porcellus (domestic guinea pig). RNAcentral's name for it is "lncRNA (ENSCPOG00000032723.1)". Lineage: Eukaryota; Metazoa; Chordata; Mammalia; Rodentia; Caviidae. The record is from RNAcentral.